RNAcentral lists this ribosomal RNA (470 nucleotides) under uncultured bacterium. Its description in RNAcentral is "bacterial SSU rRNA". It matches the Rfam family "Bacterial small subunit ribosomal RNA", at positions 28 to 507 of the family's 1533-position model. The record is from RNAcentral.
GAUGAACGCUGGCGGCGUGCUUAACACAUGCAAGUCGAACGAAGCACUUCAUAAAGCUUGCUUUAAGAAGUGACUUAGUGGCGGACGGGUGAGUAACGCGUGGGUAACCUGCCUUACACAGGGGGAUAACAGUUAGAAAUGACUGCUAAUACCGCAUAAAACAGCAGAGUCGCAUGACUCAACUGUCAAAGAUUUAUCGGUGUAAGAUGGACCCGCGUCUGAUUAGCUUGUUGGUGGGGUAACGGCCUACCAAGGCGACGAUCAGUAGCCGGCCUGAGAGGGUGAACGGCCACAUUGGGACUGAGACACGGCCCAAACUCCUACGGGAGGCAGCAGUGGGGAAUAUUGGACAAUGGGCGAAAGCCUGAUCCAGCGACGCCGCGUGAGCGAUGAAGUAUUUCGGUAUGUAAAGCUCUAUCAGCAGGGAAGAAAACGACGGUACCUGACUAAGAAGCCCGGCUAACUACGUG